GCAGGACGAGGCUGAGCGCCAGGGACAGCACCUCCAGCGUGCUCAGGUUGGCCUUCCGGCACUGGGGGUCACUGUGGUCGAAGCCACAGGGGGGGACGUCGGAGGGGACGACAUUCCCUGGCCAAUGGAUGUCCCGUCCCGGCACCAUAUGGAGCUCCUUGGUGGUGCCGUUGUAGUUGGCCACCAUCUGGAAGUCCCCGCUCGUGGGGUCCAUGUCCCAUAGGGUGUAGUCG
RNAcentral lists this long non-coding RNA (233 nucleotides) under Gallus gallus (chicken). The record is from RNAcentral. Lineage: Eukaryota; Metazoa; Chordata; Aves; Galliformes; Phasianidae.